GGUAGUCCACGCCGUAAACGAUGAGUGCUAAGUGUUAGAGGGUUUCCGCCCUUUAGUGAUGAAGUUAAUGCAUUAAGCACUCCCCCUGGGGAGUACGGCCGCAAGGCUUAAACUCAAAGGAAUUGCCGGGGGCCCGCACAAGCGGUGGAGCAUGUGGUUUAAUUUGAAGCAACGGGAAGAACCUUACCAGGUCUUGACAUCCUCUGAAAACCCUAGAGAUAGGGCUUCUCCUUCGGGAGCAGAGUGACAGGUGGUGCAUGGUUGUCGUCAGCUCGUGUCGUGAGAUGUUGGGUUAAGUCCCGCAACGAGCGCAACCCUUGAUCUUAGUUGCCAUCAUUAAGUUGGGCACUCUAAGGUGACCUCCGGUGACAAACCGGAGGAAGGUGGGGAUGACGUCAAAUCAUCAUGCCCCUUAUGACCUGGGCUACACACGUGCUACAAUGGACGGUACAAAGAGCUGCAAGACCGCGAGGUGGAGCUAAUCUCAUAAAACCGUUCUCAGUUCGGAUUGUAGGCUGCAACUCGCCUACAUGAAGCUGGAAUCGCUAGUAAUCGCGGAUCAGCAUGCCGCGGUGAAUACGUUCCCGGGCCUUGUACACACCGCCCGUCACACCACGAGAGUUUGUAACACCCGAAGUCGGUGGGGCAAC
This 650-nucleotide ribosomal RNA is filed under the name Tsukamurella sp. AD106. RNAcentral describes it as "bacterial SSU rRNA". It matches the Rfam family "Bacterial small subunit ribosomal RNA", at positions 789 to 1439 of the family's 1533-position model. Lineage: Bacteria; Bacillati; Actinomycetota; Actinomycetes; Mycobacteriales; Tsukamurellaceae. The record is from RNAcentral.